GAUGAACGCUGGCGGCGUGCCUAAUACAUGCAAGUCGAGCGAACAGACGAGGAGCUUGCUCCUCUGACGUUAGCGGCGGACGGGUGAGUAACACGUGGAUAACCUACCUAUAAGACUGGGAUAACUUCGGGAAACCGGAGCUAAUACCGGAUAAUAUAUUGAACCGCAUGGUUCAAUAGUGAAAGACGGUUUUGCUGUCACUUAUAGAUGGAUCCGCGCCGCAUUAGCUAGUUGGUAAGGUAACGGCUUACCAAGGCGACGGUGCGUAGCCGACCUGAGAGGGUGGUCGGCCACACUGGAACUGAGACACGGUCCAGACUCCUACGGGAGGCAGCAGUAGGGAAUCUUCCGCAAUGGGCGAAAGCCUGACGGGGCAACGCCGCGUGAGUGAUGGAGGUCUUCGGAUCGGAAAACUCUGUUAUUAGGGAAGAACAAAUGUGUAAGUAACUAUGCACGUCUUGACGGUACCUAAUCAGAAAGCCACGGCUAACUACGUG
This 497-nucleotide ribosomal RNA is filed under the name uncultured bacterium. RNAcentral's name for it is "partial 16S ribosomal RNA". It matches the Rfam family "Bacterial small subunit ribosomal RNA", at positions 28 to 507 of the family's 1533-position model. The record is from RNAcentral.